CGGGGCGUGGCGCAGCUUGGUAGCGCACUUGGUUUGGGACCAAGGGGCCGCAGGUUCGAAUCCUGUCGCCCCGACCA
Molecule: transfer RNA, 77 nt
Filed under: Bacillota bacterium
Lineage: Bacteria; Bacillati; Bacillota
Description: tRNA-Pro
Rfam family: tRNA
About the family: Transfer RNA (tRNA) molecules are approximately 80 nucleotides in length. Their secondary structure includes four short double-helical elements and three loops (D, anti-codon, and T loops).
Source: RNAcentral